CCUACGGGUGACAGCAGUGGGGAAUAUUGCACAAUGGGGGAAACCCUGAUGCAGCGACGCCGCGUGAGUGAAGAAGUAUUUCGGUAUGUAAAGCUCUAUCAGCAGGGAAGAAAAUGACGGUACCUGAUUAAGAAGCCCGGGCUAACUACGUGCCAGCAGCCGCGGUAAUACGUAGGGGGCAAGCGUUAUCCGGAUUUACUGGGUGUAAAGGGAGCGUAGACGGCAGCACAAGGCUGGUGGGAAAUGCCGGGGCUUAACCCCCGAACUGCUGUGGAAACUGUGCAGCUGGAGUGCAGGAGAGGUAAGUGGAAUGCGUGGUGUAGCGGUGAAAUGCGUAGAUAUUAGGAGGAACACCAGUGGCGAAGGCGGCUUACUGGACUGUAACUGACGUUGAGGCUCGAAAGCGUGGGGAGCAAACAGGAUUAGAUACCCGGGUAGUC
Molecule: ribosomal RNA, 440 nt
Filed under: uncultured bacterium
Lineage: Bacteria
Description: partial 16S ribosomal RNA
Rfam family: Bacterial small subunit ribosomal RNA
Source: RNAcentral